RNAcentral lists this non-coding RNA (23 nucleotides) under Mus musculus (house mouse). Lineage: Eukaryota; Metazoa; Chordata; Mammalia; Rodentia; Muridae. The record is from RNAcentral.
UGCUUAGGAAUGAUUUGGAACAU